Non-coding RNA from Malus domestica (apple), 1424 nucleotides. The record is from RefSeq and is a predicted model, not a curated record. Lineage: Eukaryota; Viridiplantae; Streptophyta; Magnoliopsida; Rosales; Rosaceae.
UCUUCCCUCACAAUUCUCUCUCUCUCCCUUACUUCUCACUUUCUCUCCUUCUCUCUAACACUCAACCCCGGACCCUCUCUCCCUCUACAAGCUUUCCCUCUCUUCCUUGAGUAUCACUCGUACAACCACACUACCCCAAACCACCACCACCCGAACUUUUGUAACACUUGGAAAAUAUAUAUAUAUAUAUAUAUAUAUAUAUAUAUAAAUUAUAGGAGUAAGAUUAUUUUAGCUUUAAAAAAAAAAACAGACAAAGGAUAAUCUAUACGUAUAGACAUCCCAACUCUUCUUCUUCUUCCAAACCAUCACACGGUGGGGAACCAAGAUAAUCGGAUUCCGUCCAUAAAUGUUGGGGGUGAUGUGGGUAGUCUAAGGGGAGUGAGUAAGCAUCCUAAAACAGAGAUGCGAUGAUGGCAUUAAAGGGAGUAUUUCUAACUCUUACUGAAGAACUAGAGGAGAGUGAGAGGUUUUGGAGAGGGAAAAGUAGGAAAUUGGAAGAGGGGAGCUGAGAGGGUGCUGGUGUGAUCGUCGAUUGGUAAAAAGGUAUGGGAGUGACUUCGAACACUUCGGAGGCUUAGGGAGGUAUUCUAGUUAGUUGGACUUGAGGUACUAGUAUGGAGGAACUUGAUGAUGGCCUGUCUCUAAAUGGAUAGCCAUAUCACGUGUGUGCUGGUUUCCUAGUUGUGCUUAGAAUAAAGUGUCUUCGUAUCUUAAAAGUAUGUUGUAAGAGUUGAACUCUUUAAACUAAUGAUGUAUUAAAUAAACAGGUUUAUGUGAACUUUUAGAUGGCUCUAGUUCCAUCAUACUUUUGUUGUAAUAUUUAACUUUUUUUUUCUAAGAUACUAUUCAUGCCCUAAUUCGAUGAUCAUCCUUAUUCUCGAGUUUUGGGUGUGACAAAUUUGGACUUCGAAAACCCUGUACCAAACGCCGAAGAACUCCACAAUGACGUUGCCACUAUUCAUCGUCUUCCCCGACGUGUUUCGUGGUUUCUCGACGUUGAAAUAGCACGGAGUAGCUUUUUCCCAUUUUUCCGGCACCGCCACUUUCGAGGCAUUUACUGGUCAAACCAUGAUGAUUUAACCGUCGUUCAAGUUUCCGACGAGUUCCCCAGUUUUCCCACGGAUCAGUCAUCUUUCAGGCCAUUUUCAGGCCAUCUUCAGCAACCAUUGGACUUUCAAAUAGGUGCAAUUGUUUAUGGUGUUUCUGUCUUCUCUAGUUUGCACGGCUUUUCGACAGCGAAGUAUCUGUGAGUGGAUCCUUUCCAAAAUGCAUAUUUUACCAUUAGAAAUGCAUACAUGCAUUUUUCAAACAAUGUCGUCGGUUCAUACUCGCAUUUUUCAAACAAUGGAUUGUUUUAUCAGCCAUGAAAAUGAAAAUGCAGUGCCAUGCCACCUUCAAGAUGUAUGGGGGGAAGUUCGGUUGUA